CCUACGGGUGGCAGCAGUGGGGAAUAUUGCACAAUGGGGGAAACCCUGAUGCAGCGACGCCGCGUGAGGGAAGAAGGAAUUCGGGACGGAAAGCUCUAGCAGCAGGGAAGAAAGACUGACCAGACGGGCAGCAGACGGUAGAGGAGAAAGAAGCCCCGGCGAACUACGUGCCAGCAGCCGCGGUAAUACGUAGGGGGCAAGCGUUAUGCGGAUUUACUGGGGGUAAAGGGAGCGUAGACGGUGCGCCCAGUCUGGAGUGAAAAGCCGCAGCUUAACGGCGGAACUGCUUUGGAAACUGGCGACCUAGAGUGCGGGAGGGGUAAGCUGAAUU
This 331-nucleotide ribosomal RNA is filed under the name uncultured bacterium. RNAcentral describes it as "partial 16S ribosomal RNA". It matches the Rfam family "Bacterial small subunit ribosomal RNA", at positions 338 to 668 of the family's 1533-position model. The record is from RNAcentral.